GCGUAACGCGUGGGAAUCUGCCCUUGGGUUCGGAAUAACGUCUGGAAACGGACGCUAAUACCGGAUGAUGACGAAAGUCCAAAGAUUUAUCGCCCAGGGAUGAGCCCGCGUAGGAUUAGCUAGUUGGUGAGGUAAAGGCUCACCAAGGCGACGAUCCUUAGCUGGUCUGAGAGGAUGAUCGGCCACACUGGGACUGAGACACGGCCCAGACUCCUACGGGAGGCAGCAGUAGGGAAUAUUGGACAAUGGGGGCAACCCUGAUCCAGCAAUGCCGCGUGAGUGAUGAAGGCCUUAGGGUUGUAA
RNAcentral lists this ribosomal RNA (303 nucleotides) under uncultured Sphingomonas sp. RNAcentral describes it as "bacterial SSU rRNA". It matches the Rfam family "Bacterial small subunit ribosomal RNA", at positions 108 to 428 of the family's 1533-position model. The record is from RNAcentral. Lineage: Bacteria; Pseudomonadati; Pseudomonadota; Alphaproteobacteria; Sphingomonadales; Sphingomonadaceae.